This 253-nucleotide ribosomal RNA is filed under the name uncultured bacterium. RNAcentral's name for it is "partial 16S ribosomal RNA". It matches the Rfam family "Bacterial small subunit ribosomal RNA", at positions 524 to 776 of the family's 1533-position model. The record is from RNAcentral.
UACGGAGGGUGCAAGCGUUAAUCGGAAUUACUGGGCGUAAAGCGUGCGCAGGCGGUUUGUUAAGUCCGUUGUGAAAGCCCCGAGCUCAACUUGGGAAUUGCAGUGGAUACUGGCAGGCUGGAGUACGGUAGAGGAAGGUGGAAUUCCCGGUGUAGCAGUGAAAUGCGUAGAUAUCGGGAGGAACACCAGUGGCGAAGGCGGCCUUCUGGACCAGUACUGACGCUCAUGCACGAAAGCGUGAGGAGCAAACAGG